GUGGGGAAUAUUGCACAAUGGGCGCAAGCCUGAUGCAGCAACGCCGCGUGAGGGACGACGGCCUUCGGGUUAUAAACCUCUUUUAGCAGGGAAGAAGCGAAAGUGACGGUACCUGCAGAAAAAGCACCGGCUAACUACGUGCCAGCAGCCGCGGUAAUACGUAGGGUGCAAGCGUUAUCCGGAAUUAUUGGGCGUAAAGAGCUCGUAGGCGGUCUGUCGCGUCUGCUGUGAAAACCCGAGGCUCAACCUCGGGCCUGCAGUGGGUACGGGCAGACUAGAGUGCGGUAGGGGAGACUGGAAUUCCUGGUGUAGCGGUGGAAUGCGCAGAUAUCAGGAGGAACACCGAUGGCGAAGGCAGGUCUCUGGGCCGUAACUGACGCUGAGGAGCGAAAGCGUGGGGAGCGAACAGGAUUAGAAACCCUAGUAGUCC
This 430-nucleotide ribosomal RNA is filed under the name uncultured bacterium. RNAcentral describes it as "partial 16S ribosomal RNA". It matches the Rfam family "Bacterial small subunit ribosomal RNA", at positions 354 to 796 of the family's 1533-position model. The record is from RNAcentral.